UAAAGAAUCCACCUGAAGUGCAGGAGACCCAGGUUCAUUACCUGGGUCAGGAAGAUCCCCUAGAGAAGGGAAUGGCUACCUGCUCUAGUAUUCUUGCUUGGAGAAUUCAAUGAACUGAGAAACCUGGUAGGCUACAGUCCAUGGGGUCACAAAGAGUCGGAAUGACAGCGACAACUAACACUUUCCCUUUUUUUUUUUUACUUUCAUAAUCUUUAAGACAAUCUCAUAAUCCAACCAACCAGGUCAAGUCAGAAAAAACUGUGAUACUGAUACAGCAAUUCAGAUGGUACUUUGACUAGAAAACCAUGGAAUUCAAGAAUCAUUUCCCAAAUUACAGCCACUUGUCUCCACAAGUUCCUUAUUGGAGCCAUAGCCAGGGGUUAUGCCAUUUUCCAUUUUCCAGGGGCCAUGGAAAACUCAAGGCACAGUAGUAUUCCCUGUGAACUAUGCCUUUGGCCUUAGACUGAGUGCAGAAUAUCUGCACUACAAAAAACAGUGAUUUUUUUCCUAAAGUGCUUGUCAGUUUCAAAAUAAAACAAGCCAUGAACUUUGCUGCUUUCAUAGUUCCCCCUUCCCACCACCCUCAUAACUUCCCUCAUAGCUCAGUUGGUAAAGAAUCUGCCUGCAAUGCAGGAGACCCUUGUUCGAUUCCUGGGUAGGGAAAAUCCGCUGGAGAAGGGAUAGGCUACUCACUCCAGUAUUCUUGGGCUUCCCUUGUAGCUCAGUUGGUAAAGAAUCCGCCUGCAAUGUGGGAGACCUGGGUUUGAUCCACUCGUUGGGAAGAUCCCCUGGAGAAGGAAAAGGCUACCCACUCCAGUAUGCUGGCCUGGAGAAUUCCAUGGAUUGUAUAGUCCAUAGGAUCACAAAGAGUUGGACAUGACUGAAUGACUUUCACUUUCACUUUCCCACUACAACUGAACCUGAGUCUAGGAUGCUGUAAAUUCCACCACAGAAGAGAAGGGCACGGCACGGCAAACAUACCUGCGUCAUAACAACUUUCAGCCACAGCAAGUCCCUACACUGAAAUCUGAACAACUGGCCUGAAAAUACCAAGUAUGCUUUAGAAACUCUGAUACAAAAUUAGAACCAUUGAAAAAAAUGAACUUGGCACGAUCUAUUGAAGUUCGGGAUAAUAUUCAUCAAUAUGAACAAUAACUGCAAGGACUGAAACACAGCAUAUAUAUAUCUCAAUGCAUGACUUCAUAAUGAUACAAAAAUAGAACAGAACACUUACUAGUCACCUCUGGAGGAUAUUGUACAACCAACCUAUUAUUUUGAAAAGUGCUAAAUAAAGGGGGAGAACAAAGCCU
Long non-coding RNA from Bos taurus (domestic cattle), 1310 nucleotides. The record is from Ensembl. Lineage: Eukaryota; Metazoa; Chordata; Mammalia; Artiodactyla; Bovidae.